ACUCACCCACUUAGAACCUUCUGGAAGCCCUGACUGCCUUGCUGUAAGGUCGGCUGAAUGGAAAGAGACAAAGGCUGUUGGCCCUGAUAACAGAGGACAUGGAGAACACUGACGGGCCAGCACAGAGAGGUGUCAAACCUACAUUGCAGCCUGAAGGAUGUCUUCACUUCCUCCUGCUCCUUCGCCUUGUAUCCUUCAUAGAUUUUUCCCGCAAUAAAACUUUGCAUAUCUAA
Molecule: long non-coding RNA, 233 nt
Organism: Homo sapiens (human)
Lineage: Eukaryota; Metazoa; Chordata; Mammalia; Primates; Hominidae
Exons: 2
Source: RefSeq, a predicted model, not a curated record